RNAcentral lists this long non-coding RNA (564 nucleotides) under Cucumis sativus (cucumber). RNAcentral describes it as "long non-coding RNA (CSAT_LNC000462)". Lineage: Eukaryota; Viridiplantae; Streptophyta; Magnoliopsida; Cucurbitales; Cucurbitaceae. The record is from RNAcentral.
UUUUUUUUUUUUUUUUUUUUGUGUGUGUGUACUGGAUUUUGUUUUUUCCUUUUUUCAAGUUAAUAUUCCAGGCCAGCCUAAGGGGUGCCAGCCACAGUUUGUUUUUUCUUUUUCCUUCUUUCUUUAAAUAAAAUAAAUAAUAAUAAUUAUGAUAAGUUUAAUUUUGGGGAGUGAGGACCAAUUUUCGGAGAAGGAAGCAGAGGGUCAGUUAUGGAAAUUGAGUUUGAGCAGCACCGUAUCCGUGUGGUACGUUUCACAAGAUCGAGACGUUCAGAUAAUUUAAGUAAUAAUAAUAACAAUAAUAAAAUUGUUGUUAUUAUUAUGUCACAGUUUUAGGGUUUCUUUCUUACUUUACGGGGGAGGAAAGGACUGUGAUUUUUUUUAAGGCAGUAAAAGGGUCCAGGUGGCAGCCUCGUAGAAGGUAAAUAAAUAGGAGAAGAGGUGCCACGUGAGCUGCAAGUCGUGGUCCGUGGAACUGGUGGGGUUAAUAUCGUGUAAAGAGUGGGGCCAAACCGAAGUUGGCACGUGGGAUUCGAAAAAUAUUUAUAAAAUAAAAUGGUGGUG